RNAcentral lists this small nuclear RNA (215 nucleotides) under Sarcoptes scabiei. RNAcentral describes it as "Platynereis dumerilii (Dumeril's clam worm) U5 spliceosomal RNA". It matches the Rfam family "U11 spliceosomal RNA". The record is from Rfam by way of RNAcentral. Lineage: Eukaryota; Metazoa; Arthropoda; Arachnida; Sarcoptiformes; Sarcoptidae.
GAAAAGGGAGUUCAUCUCUAAUUUUUCUCCAUUUUUUUCGGAGGGAAAUUAGAAUCGUUGGUGGAUGUGUUCUGCUAGAACAGCUACUUGAUUUUCUCUCUGUCCUAGACUCUGAACACGUUUAGAAUCGCUAUCAAGAGAUUCUGAACUCAUAAUUUUUGGAACCGUGCGAGGUAGCUGCUUCAAAAUUCACUUGAAUGUAUAGCGCCUCGCCC